RNAcentral lists this ribosomal RNA (502 nucleotides) under uncultured Glomeromycotina. RNAcentral describes it as "partial small subunit ribosomal RNA". It matches the Rfam family "Eukaryotic small subunit ribosomal RNA", at positions 591 to 1092 of the family's 1831-position model. The record is from RNAcentral. Lineage: Eukaryota; Fungi; Glomeromycota.
CCAAUAGCGUAUAUUAAAGUUGUUGCAGUUAAAAAGCUCGUAGUUGAACCUCGGGGUCUACCCAUUGGUCAGGCUUAAUUGUCUGCACUGGUGAGAUGGAUCUCUACCUUCUGAGGAACUUUCAUGCCAUUUAUUUGGUGUGAUGGGAAAUCAGGACUGUUACUUUGAAAAAAUUAGAGUGUUUAAAGCAGACUAUCGUCUGAAUACAUUAGCAUGGAAUAAUGAAAUAGGACGGACUGAUUCUAUUUCGUUGGUUUCUAGGAUCACCGUAAUGAUUAAUAGUGAUAGUUGGGGGCAUUAGUAUUCAAUUGUCAGAGGUGAAAUUCUUGGAUUUAUUGAAGACUAACUACUGCGAAAGCAUUUGCCAAGGAUGUUUUCAUUAAUCAAGAACGAAAGUUAGGGGAUCGAAGACGUUCAGAUACCGUCGUAGUCUUAACCAUAAACUAUGCCGACUAGGGAUCGGACGAAGUUAAUUUUAUAAUGACGCGUUCGGCACCUUACG